CUUCUUAACAUUACUAGGAGACACAAUCCCAUGCCAAACUCUCGGACCCCCCAGCUCUUACUAUAUUAAUGCCCCCCACUUCUGCAAUUCUCCCCAAGUCUUAGUUACCGGAAUUUUCUGUAGAUGUAUCCAUGGAGACUGGCCCUACAAAUCUGCAUUUUGAUUGGCUGUAGUUUUCUGUAGUGGUCUCCAUUGGUUGCAAAGAGAAGUUUCCUUGCUGAGGGGUCAGGACCACACUUGCCUGAGGCUAUAAGUACAAAUGCUUAUAGAUUGUCAGAGUUUAAGCUGGUUUGACAAGUUAUCUUCCAAUAGCCAUGCCUUCGCUAAGUCUGAGUAGUUAGCUAAGUUUCCAGUACUAGGCACGAUCUUCUUCUUACUGAGUCUUAACUCCAUUAGGAAUCUUUGGUGACUGCCAAGGUGUGUGUGUCACUACUGCACCCUUAGCGUUAUCAUGCUAUGGUGGUCACCGUGGUUCAUAGGCAUCACAGCUUGGUAGAUUGGUUGUCUCCACCCUUUAGAAGCUUCCAUUGUGCCUUCUGGCCUCAUAGAAGUUAGUGCCCUGGGAGGGGCAUUUAGGUUCCAGCUCAGGGACCUCUGAGCCCUGCUUCUGAAGUGCACAGUGCCUUCAGCCAUGAAGACUUACCUUCCACCAGUGAGGCAACCGAGAGCAACUGCAGUAGACUGUACGUCUGGGGGGUUUCUUGGGCAGUCCUAGCCAGCCAUUCAAGAGAGGGCCUCUCAUGUCUAGUAUUGGGCUUUUGUUAUGUGUUCUUCGACUCUUGGAGGGAGCUCCAUCAACCUUAGUCUCCUCCUGCCACCUUACAAGAAAGCAUCUGUUGUCAUCCUGAGGAAGUUUAAGAACAGUUUGUGCUCAUACACUGUAGAAUUUACAUCAGCAGCUUGGAAUAAAACCUCAGAGAAAGCAGUUGCACAUUUUUUAUGGAAAACAGUACCAUCAACAUUCCUGAUAGACUACUACGUGCUUUAAACACUAAUCUUGAUAGUUUAGUUAAAAGAGGAGUUUGGCAACUCUAUCCUGUCUGAAACAUGUAAAGGAUCAGGACCAGAAGGGAAGCUCUGUCAGUAAUGCCCCUGCUUCACAAUCCUGAGGACCUGAGUUCAAUCCCUCAAAGCCACGUUUAUUAAAUCAUGUGUGGUUGUGCACACUUGUAACCCCAGUCCUGGGGAGGUAGAUCGUGCAGCCAGCCUAACCUGCAUGGUGAGCCCCAGGUCACUAGGAGACUCUGUGUCAAAACAAUAACAACAAAAACCAAGGUGGACAGUAUCUAAAGAAAGACAUGCAAGGUUCAUAUGUAAGGUUGCUCUCUGGCAUCCAUGUGUGUAUGCACCUGCACAUACAAGUGUACCUGCAUGUGAAAGAACAGCACAUGCUCGAAUGCACACACACAUGUACUUAUACAUGCAGUAGUGGGCACAUGCAAGCAUGCAAACACGUGUGUAUUUACACAUGCAAUGGUAGGGAGGAAGAAGUUGUACAAUAGUGAGUUCAUUUUCACUUAUUUUUCUACUCUGCAUACUCAUGAGGGCGAAAAACGUGAUUUAAAACAUGCUAUAUGCCCAGAUACGAUCUUUAAAGAGCUCUCUCUCUCUGGAAACAUGGAAUAAAAAAUUAUAGGUGAAGAAAUCAUUUAGUUGGCAAUGUUGAUUUACAACUUACAGUCUAUAGCAGUGCAGAUUAAAUAAAAUGUGCAGACAAUACCAGAUUAGAGCGCAGACUUGCAAAUUAACACCAGCCGCAUCUGUAAGGCCUGUGUUCCUCUGUAGCUCAGAGCCAAUCCACACAAGAACAAAAAUGGCUUCUAUUUGAUCCUAAGCCUGCACCUGCCUGGCUGAGGUCCUCCUGGUUUAAUUUAUUGAGAGAAACGCAUGACACACAUUUCCACAGUAAACACAUUAGAACAGAAGCAUGCCCUGGUGGAGCCUUCACACAUGCAGUAGCCCUGACUGACAGUAGAAAGACGUUGUUGUAGAGGACAUUCAAAAGGAAACCAAAGUCUGAACACUGCUUAUGUUCAAAACGAGUGUUGGCUGCUACCUUAAGGCAGGCCAUAUGGGCAAGAGUGCUCAAACAAGAGCUUUCUCGAAGUAAUUAAUUACGUUUUCUGAAGUUGCUUUUCUCUGCAACUUUAACCGGCCACAGGUCUCCGAAGCUUGCUUAGCUGGCUUUGUUAGAUGCUCUGCUCUGGACUUUUGCUUAUUUCUAUGCGGGAAAGAGAAGUAUCCUAAGCUCACCUCCAACCAAGAGCAGCUAGGAAACAGUUUAGCUCCCAAUUCGCGCACAUCGCAUAGCUCAAAGAUGUCAUCACCAAGGAGAAGACAGGGAAACCAAGACACACAGUCCCCUGGGGGAUGGUGGAGCAGUUUCAGGACCAGGGACCAGAAGGGAAAACCACUCACUAGCUCUAUGUCUUCACCGAGUUGAGAAAAUUGACCCUCGAAUUCAAGGAUGCUCUAGUGGCUGGCAGUUUCGUGGAAGAUUCCAGAAGGAAACUACACGUAGAUAAACAGCUCGAGAAAUCAGUAAAACAGUCCUCUGAAGUUCUGAUAACCACAUGGUCGUGCAGGCAGAUAGAGAAGCUUCUUAUGAUGACCAAGGCACCAGAUAAGGAGCUGCAGGCUGAAAAACUGCUCAGAUGUUCAAACUCCACAAGGCAUGAUGGGCAAUAAUGACCACCUAUGACAUAGGAUUAUCCUUAGAGGAAAUACAUCCUCUAUGCAUGCCAGCAAAGCCUAAGAGAGAUAGGCUUUUCUCAGCAAGCAACCCUGUCUGCUCAAACAGAGCCAGGCACUGUAAGAGUCAGGCCAUAGCCAAACUGGACUCAGCCGUGUGGCAUUUACAAUGUCCAGUAAUAGAUUUACACAGUUCCUAGUACGGUCUAAGAAGCUGGAAAGCCAGAAAUACAUGGAGAGAUAGGGAAGGAAGCACCAACAAGAAGACGGGUGUUUGUAGAAAGUGCAGACCACACUCAGAUACUCAAAGGGAAGCACAGACAGAAGGACUGAAGAGGUGGACUUAGAACCAGAGGAGACCUCUAGGCAUGAAAAUACUAACACUUGAUGUAAAACAUCAUGGCAUCAGCACACUAUAAUAGGUGUCCUCUGAGGACAGAUGAUGCCGAUGAAGUAUGUCCGUAAAAUUAAGAUAAGCCAAUGCCUUCCGUGACCUAUGAAACAGUAAGCAGAUGUUUAACAUGCAUGGAGUUAAAGAAAACGAGAGAGACAAGUGUCCAAAUUUUGUUCCAACUGUGAUACAGAUUUACAAAACCCCAAUAUCAGGAUGUUGAACACACACGGGGAAACAAAGGAAACUGAAAGGGAAAUAAUAAAUUAAUUACGUCAGAAGGAAAGAGAUCAGCAAUAGUGGGCAGAGAAGAAUCCUAUAACGUACUUGGGGCUUUACAUAACAGCUUAAGCAGAGAGAUGAAUAAAAUUACACAAGGUUUAUGACACAGAGGACGUAAAAAAUGUGACUAAAGGCACAGGAUGAACUUGAGAAAAUCGUGAGCGCUUUCACUAUCUGUCAUGUGAUAUACAAUCACUCAAAGAGAAGACUGACAACUCGAAGGUGCACACUCGGGAGCGAAACCUUAAUUAAUUAAAAUGUACUGACAAUGGCUAAUAGUUUUGACAGAAUGUGGUACGAAAAACGCUCAACCGAUCACGGAAAAGGGAAGGGCAGACGAGACCAAAAUAAAGCAGCACAGAGGAAGCUCAACCGUGUCAGUCAAAGACAAUAUGAACACUCUAAGCUCGGAGUCCACCCAAAUGAAAUAAAAAGGCAACACCCAACUCCACGCCAUCUAUGAGAAAUCAGCCUUAACUGUAAGAGAGCGGAAAAGAUGAAAGGUCUUCCUUCCACAAAAGCAAGAGCAGCAGCCACAAGGAAGCUGGGCUGGAAAUAGAAGCAGAGUGGACCAGCGAGAAAUGUAAGAGACUCUGCAUAGUGGAAACAGAGAGUUCACCCACUGUAGACUCCACACGUACGGGUCCGCAGUAACGGAACUGCAAAACUGCAAAAUGCACAGAGUAAGUGUCUGCAAGACUAUGCAAAAACAGACAAUUCCAGCUGAAAACUUUCCAUUCUGUUCUUUCGGUAGUAAACCAGUAUAGGCUCACAUAUAGAUGGAUAUCAACGAAAACGUGGAGACUUUCAACAACACUGCCAGCCAGUUGGACCUAAGUAGCACACAUGGACCAUGAGAACAGAAUCUUCUCACACGGUGCCCUUGAGAUGGUCUGCAAUUGCGAUGGGCCGGAAGACGACUCCCAGUGAUUUUUCUUUUUGAAACAAGGUAUGUAGCUCCUGCUACACAGCUUAGAGAUAACUUCCGCUCCCCAUCCUCAGCCUCCAUAGCGCUGGUAUGACAGGUAUGCAUCGUGAUGCACAGUUUAUGCGGCGCCCAGAACUGCACCUAGGACGUCCUAUAUGCUAGGCAAGCACCCUACCUACUGAGCCAUAUCUACUUCCAGACCCCACAUCGAUAAAUCUAAAUUGUUCAGAUCAUAAAGAGUUUAAUUAUAACCACAAGAAAGUAAGCAAAAAAAAAUCUCAACUAGUAGGAUACCUUGGAAAUCACGAUAAGUCUCUUUUAAGUGCCCCACACAUCAGAGAAGGAAUUAUGAUAGAAAAAUUAAAAUAUUUUUACUGGAGAUAAGAUACAAUGUUUCGGCAGUUUUGUGAUACAGAAAAGCAAUAGGUAGUGGGACUUUUGUAGCUUCAAGUUUUUAUCUACCUAUUAAUGAAUCCCCUGAGCUCUCAUCUUAAGCUGGAAAAAGAAGCACAAGUACAAGUGGAGAGGAGAUCUAUAAUCUGAACCCUCAGGGAGCCGAGGUGCCAGAAGUCUCAGACCCUAGGAGGUUGGUGCCACUCCCAGCUCUUGCCAGAAGGUCGCUGUGCAGUGGUCAGCUAGUGCAGAGACAAGAGCUGAAUAUAAACAGCUGGAUGCUAAGAUGUGAACCAGCCAUUUGUAUUAACCUCCAUCCAAGGCUCAGGGCACUUUACAGAACAGCGGAUGUAAAGAAGUAAGAACUGGCCAAUGAGGAGGGGAAAUGUGACUGCACCUUCCGGACAAGGCGUGGCUGUUGUACCCAUCAACCGUUACCUACGUAAGACUGGCUCAAACUGAAGGAACGGCCACCCAGACGCUGCCCCACCUAGGGAUCCAUCCUAUCUGCGGACACCAAACCCGGACACUAUUGCUGAUGUGAAGAAGUGUUUGCUGACAGGAAGGAACCUGGUAUAGCUGUCCCCUGAGAGGCUCUGCCAGCACCUGACUAAAACAGGCCAAGAGGAACACGUACUGGAAAGAGGUGCGACUUCUAUCCACAGACAACUUUAAAAGCUGCACAGAAAAUCCCAGAUAAUCCAAAAGUAAUAAGGCAGAAAUGUGGAAAAGAAGCAGGUAGAUCUUUGUGAGUUCCCAGCCAGUCUGAUCUACGUAGUGAGUUCAAAGCCAGCUGGAGCUGUGCUGUGAAAUGCUGCUUCAACAAGCCAAGCAAAUCGAACAAAUCAGAGCAAAACAAAAGACCCUGACUGAAGAUCGUGUUGCAGGAACCUGAAGUCAGAGAAGAAGUUGGAUAGCAACUUGUAAAUGUGACAGACGGCAGGAGGAACAGGAUGGGCUGCCGACCACGGGA
This is a non-coding RNA of Rattus norvegicus (Norway rat), 5658 nucleotides long. The record is from RefSeq and is a predicted model, not a curated record. NCBI's taxonomy places the organism in Eukaryota, Metazoa, Chordata, Mammalia, Rodentia, Muridae.